UACAAAUAGAUACGGCUCCCUAAGGUGGGUUGGCUCAUCCCCGAUAGAAAGGGGGUGACGCCAUGACAGUAUACGAGGCGUUAAUGUUAAUGGUCGCUUUCGGAUCGCUGAUUGUUGCGAUGCUGUCAUUUAAUCAAAAGAAAUAGGCCCCCUUGAGUUUUGGCGAACACCGGGGACCUUUUUCUUGCUCUAUCCAUCAUCUGAGCCAUCCCCCUUGGGGAAUGUCUAUUGUACAUAGACCGUUUUGGUGUUACCAGCACCAG
RNAcentral lists this small RNA (263 nucleotides) under Aneurinibacillus soli. RNAcentral's name for it is "BsrG". It matches the Rfam family "BsrG". From Rfam's summary of the family: bsrE, bsrG and bsrH pair through intermolecular interactions with antisense sRNAs. Lineage: Bacteria; Bacillati; Bacillota; Bacilli; Caryophanales; Paenibacillaceae. The record is from RNAcentral.